GUCAAAUUCAUUUCCAUAUUUUGCCAAAAUUUCAAAACCAACCCCCACAGACGAAACCCUCCUUAGUUCAAUCGAAGGGUCAUCGCCACACACCUCACCAUCUCCGGCCACCACCGAAGCUCGCAAGCAGACCCCAAAUGUUUGAAUCGACUGUGGUACCCAGCGAAACACAACGGUGGUCUGUAAAGGACAUCAUUUCCCCAAGUCAUCGCCGUGUUAUCACUUUCGGCACCACGCUCGUCUGUAAAUCUAUUUUCAUUUCUUUGUUGUACUCCGGUUGAGAGGGAGGCUGCCAACAGUGAUGUAAUUUUUCUCAGCAGCCCACAGUGGGUAACCCAUCUGUUUGUUUGGUGUUGGUUUUAAUGAUUUUAUUAAAGGUUUUUUAUGGUUUUGCUGUUGUUUCACAAUUGCUUCCAAUUUGAAUCUCUAGUAUUUGAUAUUUGCUUGUUGUUGUUCGAUUCCGUUUGUUUUAAUUGUGUUGUGGUUGCAUUUGCAGUUUUCCUUUGCAGCUUCUGAUGCUUCAUUUUCUGUCUUUUUAGUUUAGAAAGGUCGGAAGGAACUGCGAUCUGUCAUAGAUGUAGGAGUAAGAUCCACUUCUUCAACGACUGCCCAAGGAACGCCCGUGCCUGUCAUGUAAGCGUGGAUUUGAGAAAUGUUUUAUGGUGGAGAAGGAGACUGUCAAUAAAGAUAAAUUAUUCGUUUCUUGCAGUAAGUGUAUAAUAAUUGUGGAUUUUGGGAUUGAGUUGUCGAAGAAAAAUCGGGUGCAUCUAGUAGUCUUAGUGCUACAUUUGUUUACCUUGUGACGAAUGAAAUAGUUGACGAAAUGCCCCGUAGUCUUGAAUCUCUAAUUCGGCUUACCAACCAAGAAGGGCUUGGAUUUCGAUGGACCUAACUAUCGAAACGGACAAAGUAAGCACGAUACAGAAUGCAAGAGAGAAGCGUCCAACUUGAUUAGUAGAUAUUGUUGAAACUACCGUAGCUAAUUUAAAAACUAUUGUGUGUAUGGAACUUGAAUUUUUCACCCUUUUGUUGUAAUCUAUAUGGUUAUAUUUAAUGCAGUGAUGAGUUCUCUAUUAUCUCUACUUAAGUAGCCAUUUUGCUUUUUAUUUUGUUGAUUAUCUGAUUCUCCCAAAUGUACAUCAUCAUACAUUUUUCCUUCCACUUGUU
This 1167-nucleotide long non-coding RNA is filed under the name Olea europaea subsp. europaea. Lineage: Eukaryota; Viridiplantae; Streptophyta; Magnoliopsida; Lamiales; Oleaceae. The record is from RNAcentral.